UACGUAGGUGGCAAGCGUUAUCCGGAAUUAUUGGGCGUAAAGCGCGCGCAGGCGGUCCUUUAAGUCUGAUGUGAAAGCCCACGGCUCAACCGUGGAGGGUCAUUGGAAACUGGAGGACUUGAGUGCAGAAGAGGAGAGCGGAAUUCCACGUGUAGCGGUGAAAUGCGUAGAGAUGUGGAGGAACACCAGUGGCGAAGGCGGCUCUCUGGUCUGUAACUGACGCUGAGGCGCGAAAGCGUGGGGAGCGAACAGG
This 253-nucleotide ribosomal RNA is filed under the name uncultured bacterium. Its description in RNAcentral is "partial 16S ribosomal RNA". It matches the Rfam family "Bacterial small subunit ribosomal RNA", at positions 524 to 776 of the family's 1533-position model. The record is from RNAcentral.